Molecule: ribosomal RNA, 967 nt
Filed under: Trigonopterus sp. 940 AR-2022a
Lineage: Eukaryota; Metazoa; Arthropoda; Insecta; Coleoptera; Curculionidae
Description: SSU rRNA
Rfam family: Eukaryotic small subunit ribosomal RNA
Source: RNAcentral
GUCAUAUGCUUGUCUCAAAGAUUAAGCCAUGCAUGUCUCAGUACAAGCCAAAUUAAGGUGAAACCGCGAAAGGCUCAUUAAAUCAGUUAUGGUUCCUUAGAUCGUACCAACAAUUACUUGGAUAACUGUGGUAAUUCUAGAGCUAAUACAUGCAAACAGAACUCCGACCGGAGACGGAAGGAGUGCUUUUAUUAGAUCAAAACCAAUCGGUGGCGGGUUCGCUCGUCAUCGUACAACUUGGUGACUCUGAAUAACUUUACGCUGAUCGCACGGUCAUCGCACCGGCGACGCAUCUUUCAAAUGUCUGCCUUAUCAACUGUCGAUGGUAGGUUCUGCGCCUACCAUGGUUGUAACGGGUAACGGGGAAUCAGGGUUCGAUUCCGGAGAGGGAGCCUGAGAAACGGCUACCACAUCCAAGGAAGGCAGCAGGCGCGCAAAUUACCCACUCCCGGCACGGGGAGGUAGUGACGAAAAAUAACGAUACGGGACUCAUCCGAGGCCCCGUAAUCGGAAUGAGUACACUCUAAACCCUUUAACGAGGAUCAAUUGGAGGGCAAGUCUGGUGCCAGCAGCCGCGGUAAUUCCAGCUCCAAUAGCGUAUAUUAAAGUUGUUGCGGUUAAAAAGCUCGUAGUCGAAUUUGUGUCUCGCGCCGCCGGUUCAUCGUCCGCGGUGUUAACUGGCGAGUCGCGAGACGUCCUGCCGGUGGGCUUAGCUCGCGAGGGCGGCCCAACUCAAUCCUGCCGCGGUGCUCUUCAUUGAGUGUCGAGGUGGGCCGGCACGUUUACUUUGAACAAAUUAGAGUGCUUAAAGCAGGCUAAAACUUCGCCUGAAUACUGUGUGCAUGGAAUAAUGGAAUAGGACCUCGGUUCUAUUUUGUUGGUUUUCGGAACCCCGAGGUAAUGAUUAAUAGGAACGGAUGGGGGCAUUCGUAUUGCGACGUUAGAGGUGAAAUUCUUGGAUCGUCGC